GAUGAACGCUGGCGGCGUGCCUAAUACAUGCAAGUCGAGCGAACAGACGAGGAGCUUGCUCCUCUGACGUUAGCGGCGGACGGGUGAGUAACACGUGGAUAACCUACCUAUAAGACUGGGAUAACUUCGGGAAACCGGAGCUAAUACCGGAUAAUAUAUUGAACCGCAUGGUUCGAUAGUGAAAGACGGUUUUGCUGUCACUUAUAGAUGGAUCCGCGCCGCAUUAGCUAGUUGGUAAGGUAACGGCUUACCAAGGCAACGAUGCGUAGCCGACCUGAGAGGGUGAUCGGCCACACUGGAACUGAGACACGGUCCAGACUCCUGCGGGAGGCAGCAGUAGGGAAUCUUCCGCAAUGGGCGAAAGCCUGACGGAGCAACGCCGCGUGAGUGAUGAAGGUCUUCGGAUCGUAAAACUCUGUUAUUAGGGAAGAACAAAUGUGUAAGUAACUAUGCACGUCUCGACGGUACCUAAUCAGAAAGCCACGGCUAACUACGUG
RNAcentral lists this ribosomal RNA (497 nucleotides) under uncultured bacterium. RNAcentral describes it as "partial 16S ribosomal RNA". It matches the Rfam family "Bacterial small subunit ribosomal RNA", at positions 28 to 507 of the family's 1533-position model. The record is from RNAcentral.